This 1339-nucleotide long non-coding RNA is filed under the name Sus scrofa (pig). RNAcentral describes it as "lncRNA (ENSSSCG00005039279.1)". The record is from RNAcentral. Lineage: Eukaryota; Metazoa; Chordata; Mammalia; Artiodactyla; Suidae.
GGACCCUAAAAUAAAACCAAUCGAGUGGUGCAAGGGAAUGAUAAAUUUCAUUUUUAAAUGGCAGUUUUCUUAAAGUGGGUAAAUUUUGAGAGAUUUGAUAGUUUGAUUUUUCCUGGUUAAAAUAGUGUUACAACUUCAUUCAUUUUAUGAAUUAUACAGCCUUUUCGUAUAGUGAAUAUACAGGAAAGAAAAUCAUAUCUAGUCCAGAAAAUCCUCGUACCUGUUCUUAGAGUAAGGAUGUCUCUGUAGUUGAUAACAAGCCCUAUUAUAAAAGACAAUAAAUCCCAACGAAGUGAUCUGCCUCAUAUUCCUUUGAAAUGCAUUUGGAACUCUGGAGCUUGUUUUCAGUCCUAGAGGCUUGGCAGCUGAUCUCUAUUGAGUACUCCCGACUCUCCCAGAAUAGUUUUGUAGGCGAUUGCUUGGUUUAGAAUGAGGAAGGAAGUUCUGCAGAGCUGCUAGAAUGAGAAUGACUGGAAUAGCUGAUAAAAGGCUGAGCUUUCUAUGGCCAGUACAUCCGGAGUUAUAGAGAAGCCGCAUGCUAGUCUCCUGUGGCAGAACCAGGUCUCCUGGGGGAGAAUGAAGCUGGUUUCAACUAUCAAAUGGGUUAUCUAAAAACAAGGCCAUCUUCUCCAUUAGUGCCCAGGGCCCACAGUACUUUUAGGGGCCCAUGAAAAUGUUUUAAUGUCUUUUAAAAUUAAGAGAAGAUGAACAAAAUAUUUUAACAAAUGACAUUAGCUUUUUUUUUUUUUUUUUUUUUUUUUUUUUUUUUUUGGAGGACGGUCUACAAAGACUGUGUGUCUGGGGCCUAUAAAAGUCAUAAUGCAGACCUACCUGAGGCCUGAGAUCUACCCAUUCUCUCAAGGUUGGUGCUAGACUAUGAAAGAAUGGCAAGUUUAGGCAGAUGUCUGAUAUUCUAAUUCAGUUCAUCUCCCUCUCUGCAUCUUAGUGUCUUCAUCUGUCUAAUGAGGAAUAUGGACCAAGCAACCUGUGAAGGCCCUUGCAGGUCAAACUUUCUUCAAUGAAAUCCUGUGUCAGAAGCUCUGGAAUAGUUGCAGGCCAAAGCAGGUUAUCUAACAUGAUCUUAUUGUAAAAUCUCGGGUCCUGUGAGAACCUGUAGGGACACAGAACAGGCCUAGUAACCAUCCUAUAUUUUUUGAGUCCAGUUAGAAGUACAAUUUCAGAAAUGAUAAGAGAAUGAAGUGUGUGGUAUUAGAAUGCAGUUGGUAAAAGAUUAGAACUAGUAAGUGCCUUGCAUGUUGUAAGUACUCUUUAAAAAUAAAUGGAUAAAAUAAUGAUGGGUAUAAAAUAUUUGCUUAUUUUCUUAAGAGAAAUCUGUAUU